This 791-nucleotide ribosomal RNA is filed under the name Enterococcus sp. TATAC-17. RNAcentral's name for it is "bacterial SSU rRNA". It matches the Rfam family "Bacterial small subunit ribosomal RNA", at positions 22 to 787 of the family's 1533-position model. Lineage: Bacteria; Bacillati; Bacillota; Bacilli; Lactobacillales; Enterococcaceae. The record is from RNAcentral.
GCUCAGGACGAACGCUGGCGGCGUGCCUAAUACAUGCAAGUCGAACGCUUUUUCUUUCACCGGAGCUUGCUCCACCGAAAGAAAAAGAGUGGCGAACGGGUGAGUAACACGUGGGUAACCUGCCCAUCAGAAGGGGAUAACACUUGGAAACAGGUGCUAAUACCGUAUAACACUAUUUUCCGCAUGGAAGAAAGUUGAAAGGCGCUUUUGCGUCACUGAUGGAUGGACCCGCGGUGCAUUAGCUAGUUGGUGAGGUAACGGCUCACCAAGGCAACGAUGCAUAGCCGACCUGAGAGGGUGAUCGGCCACACUGGGACUGAGACACGGCCCAGACUCCUACGGGAGGCAGCAGUAGGGAAUCUUCGGCAAUGGACGAAAGUCUGACCGAGCAACGCCGCGUGAGUGAAGAAGGUUUUCGGAUCGUAAAACUCUGUUGUUAGAGAAGAACAAGGAUGAGAGUAAAAUGUUCAUCCCUUGACGGUAUCUAACCAGAAAGCCACGGCUAACUACGUGCCAGCAGCCGCGGUAAUACGUAGGUGGCAAGCGUUGUCCGGAUUUAUUGGGCGUAAAGCGAGCGCAGGCGGUUUCUUAAGUCUGAUGUGAAAGCCCCCGGCUCAACCGGGGAGGGUCAUUGGAAACUGGGAGACUUGAGUGCAGAAGAGGAGAGUGGAAUUCCAUGUGUAGCGGUGAAAUGCGUAGAUAUAUGGAGGAACACCAGUGGCGAAGGCGGCUCUCUGGUCUGUAACUGACGCUGAGGCUCGAAAGCGUGGGAGCGAACAGGAUAGAUACCC